This 477-nucleotide unclassified non-coding RNA is filed under the name Hevea brasiliensis (rubber tree). Lineage: Eukaryota; Viridiplantae; Streptophyta; Magnoliopsida; Malpighiales; Euphorbiaceae. The record is from RNAcentral.
UACUUAUAACCCUCUCUCUCUCUCUCUCUCUCUGAAACGCUCUGCUUUAGCUUUGGAAAGAAAAUGGGUGCUCUUGAUUCUCUUUCAGAUUAUCUUUCUGACUUAUUUACCGUCGCAAGAAAAAAGAGGAAGCGCAAGCCAAUGCAGACAGUUGAUAUCAAAGUGAAAAUGGACUGUGAUGGCGAAUUCUGUUUCCAACAUGAAAGGUGUAAGGUCGGUGGAGGUAAACAGAAAGCAAAGCCGGGUAACAGUAAGUGGAUACGUUGAGCCAAACAAGGUCUUAAAGAAAGUGAGAAGCACAGGAAAGAGAGCUGAGUUUUGGCCCUAUAUACCCUACAACUUGGUGGCAUAUCCUUACGUUGCUCAAGCCUACGACAAAAGGGCACCUUCUGGCUAUGUUAGGAAUGUGGUUCAAGCACUUCCUAGCCCCAACGCAGCAGACGAGAAAUUCACAACCUUCUUUAGCGAUGAAAACCC